This 446-nucleotide ribosomal RNA is filed under the name uncultured bacterium. Its description in RNAcentral is "partial 16S ribosomal RNA". It matches the Rfam family "Bacterial small subunit ribosomal RNA", at positions 338 to 795 of the family's 1533-position model. The record is from RNAcentral.
CCUACGGGUGGCUGCAGUCGAGAAUCAUUCACAAUGGGGGAAACCCUGAUGGUGCGACGCCGCGUGGGGGAAUGAAGGUCUUCGGAUUGUAAACCCCUGUCAUGUGGGAGCAAAUUAAAAAGAUAGUACCACAAGAGGAAGAGACGGCUAACUCUGGGCCAGCAGCCGCGGUAAUACAGAGGUCUCAAGCGUUGUUCGGAAUCACUGGGCGUAAGGCGUGCGUAGGCUGUUUCGUAAGUCGUGUGUGAAAGGCGCGGGCUCAACCCGCGGAAGGCACAUGAUACUGCGAGACUAGAGUAAUGAAGAGGGAACCGGAAUUCUCGGUGUAGCAGUGAAAUGCGUAGAUAUCGAGAGGAACACUCGUGGCGAAGGCGGGUUCCUGGACAUUAACUGACGCUGAGGCACGAAGGCCAGGGGAGCGAAAGGGAUUAGAUACCCUAGUAGUC